This 460-nucleotide ribosomal RNA is filed under the name uncultured bacterium. RNAcentral describes it as "partial 16S ribosomal RNA". It matches the Rfam family "Bacterial small subunit ribosomal RNA", at positions 338 to 795 of the family's 1533-position model. The record is from RNAcentral.
CCUACGGGGGGCAGCAGUGAGGAAUAUUGGUCAAUGGACGAGAGUCUGAACCAGCCAAGUCGCGUGAAGGAUGACUGCCCUAUGGGUUGUAAACUUCUUUUAUAUGGGAAUAAAACAGGGUACGCGUACCCUCCUGUAUGUACCCUAUGAAUAAGGAUCGGCUAACUCCGUGCCAGCAGCCGCGGUAAUACGGAGGAUCCGAGCGUUAUCCGGAUUUAUUGGGUUUAAAGGGUGCGUAGGUGGAUUGUUAAGUCAGGUGUGAAAGGUUGGGGCUCAACCGUAAAAUUGCAGUUGAAACUGGCAGUCUUGAGUACAGUAGAGGUAGGCGGAAUGCGUGGUGUAGCGGUGAAAUGCUUAGAUAUCACGAAGAACUCCGAUUGCGAAGGCAGCUUACUGGACUGCAACUGACGCUGAGGCUCGAAAGUGUGGGUAUCAAACAGGAUUAGAUACCCGGGUAGUC